RNAcentral lists this ribosomal RNA (253 nucleotides) under uncultured bacterium. RNAcentral describes it as "partial 16S ribosomal RNA". It matches the Rfam family "Bacterial small subunit ribosomal RNA", at positions 524 to 776 of the family's 1533-position model. The record is from RNAcentral.
CACGUAGGGGACGAGCGUUGUCCGGAUUCAUUGGGCGUAAAGAGCGUGUAGGCGGCUUUACAGGUCCGUUGUGAAAACUCGAGGCUCAACCUCGAGACGCCGGUGGAAACCGUAAAGCUAGAGUCCGGAAGAGGAGAGUGGAAUUCCUGGUGUAGCGGUGAAAUGCGCAGAUAUCAGGAGGAACACCCGUGGCGAAAGCGGCUCUCUGGGACGGUACUGACGCUGAGACGCGAAAGCGUGGGGAGCAAACAGG